Molecule: long non-coding RNA, 40222 nt
Filed under: Chlamydomonas reinhardtii
Lineage: Eukaryota; Viridiplantae; Chlorophyta; Chlorophyceae; Chlamydomonadales; Chlamydomonadaceae
Description: long non-coding RNA (CREI_LNC000137)
Source: RNAcentral
UAAUAAUAAUAAUAAUAGCUACGCACGGGCCAACGGCCCCGCGUGUCUUAAGGAAGAGUCCUUCUUAGAACCCUACCGUACCCCUGUGGGACCCUGACUAGAGGCACCCCACGCAUCACCCUCUACUCAGCUCAUAGGAUCCGAAGAUCUGAGCUUAUCGGCCUACCAACCCUCCGAAUUCGGCCAGCGUAGAGUUUCCUCGUUGCACCAAUGGGAUCCGAACCCAGAGGGUCGAUACAACGAUUCUUCGGUGCCACGGUAGCCACGGACUCCAUACCGGAACACCUACGGUGAGGGGGGUGGGAUCCGAACCCACGACCUCAACCUUAUCCGCCGGGAAACGGGCCGAAUACGAGAUUCGAACCCGGGUCCGCAGGGUGAUAAGGAAGUGCUCUUACCUACUGAGCUACCCCCCCUCAGGACGCAGGACGGGUUUUAGUUGGGGUACGGUACAGGUGGUCGUCCUUCCAAAAGUAGUGUUGGGCCUUGCGUGCAACCCGGGAGUUGGGGGCAAGGAUUAGCGUACCUUGCGCCUUGGUGCGUAGGAAGUCCAGAAGUUCUCUGUCGUUCCACACUGCACAUUCACGGGUACCAUAAUUCCAGGUGCCCUCCCGGAUUUCUCCCUCCUCAAGAUCCCAAUCACUCCCUUCAUCUUCCCCCUCUCCAGAUUCGUCUUCCGGAUCAAGCGACACUUCACUCAUGUAAGUGUCACUGUCAGCCGGCGACGCCUGGUAGUCGGAGUCGGAGCCAGAAUCAUCAACUGGCGGAUGGUGGGUAGUGACAGGUCCUGAAGCGGGGGCCGAUGGGGCAUGAGAUGGCUGGGACCCACUGGGGCCCGCCUGGGUUGGGUCCUGCCUCUGGACCCCAGUAGUCUGAGCCAGGGAGCCAUCUUCAGGUGCCGGGGCGCAUGGGGAAGCGACAGCAGUAGCGGCUACCGCAGCCUCCUUGGCACGCUGGGUGGCCAUGGUCAGGGGCUUUGGCGUGCGCCAGGCGGCGACCUUCUUGGCAGUAGCCGUGGCGUGCCGCUCUGCAGCAUGAUCAGGGCAAAACCAUUUACCCUUGGGUACAGCGCGUAGCGCUGGGGUAAGGCAAUCGGUAUGGCAUCCAUGCGUCUCGCCGGGGGCGUCGCAUAACACCAGGUUGUUUGCCGGUUGGCCCUCCCCACAGAUCAAGCACCUCACGCUGUCAUCACUGCUGGUGGGUUCGUGAGGAGCAUAAUCUUGGAGUAGGCGGUUGGGUUGGCGGUACCGCUUGCCCUUCGCAUCAGCUGCGGCAGCAGUUGUUGCGGCGGGUACCUGCCGAUCACCCACAUCAAAGCGGACACGGGGACCGUUGUCGCCACCGGCGGCAGUUUCCUGCGAGGGCGGCUCGGUCUCAUCAUCCUCGGACGUGGGUAAUUUGGGAGAGUUGGUUGGCUGGGUAGGUGGUAGGAUGGGCUGAGUCGGCGUAGGCACGUCCUGAGCGGGUGCCGAGGCUACGUUAGCAGGCUGCCGGGCGGCAGUAGUUGUAGCCAUUGGCGCGUUGACACGUCGCGGCUCAGGGCCUUGCGGUGGUACCGGCGGAGCUAUAGGCACUCCUCGCGGGGCGGCCGCGGCUGGCCUAGCCGGAAGGUAACGGGUCAUGAGCCAUUCACGGUCUACGCCCCGGUAGGAGUCGGUAAUGCCGUCCGACAGCAUGAUCUCGAUGGCGUGUUGACGGUGAGAGGUAGUCGUGACGGCGUGAGGUGGACGGGCGCAGCGCGAAGCAAGAAAGGUGCUAGGCGUCGUGCAUAGGUCAAGGCCGGUAGUGCAGGGAUCCGUGGGCAGUUGCUCUUCGGCAGGUAGGCCAGGGGGUUCGAAGCAAUCUUCGAGCUCCAGGCGUGUUAGUCCGUCAGCAACGGAGUUGGUAGCGCCGGGCCGGUGGCGAAUCUCCAUGUCGUACUGCAUCAGCCGCAUGGCCAGACGAGCAAGUUUGCCCGUCAGAUUCUUGGACGUGAGCAGGAACUUGAUUGCAGAAUGAUCGGUGUAGAGAAUGAAGCGGCCUGUGCCGUACAGAAACGGAUGGAAACGUGUAACGCCGAAUACGGCCGCAAAUGCCUCUCCAUCCACGGAAGCCCAGUUGAGAGCGGGGCCGGUCAGGCGCUUGGAUGCGUAGCUGACAACAUACUCACGCCCUUGGUCAUCGCGUUGGGAGAGACAGGCCGCAACAGCAUGGCGUGCCCAAUCCACCGAAAGCUCAAACUGUCGACCCCAGUCAGGAGCACGCAGAAUGGGUUCGGAAGUAAGGGCAUCGCGCAGCUGUUCAUAGGCGCUUUGCUCCUCAUCCCCCCAUCUCCAUUGUGUGCGUGGCGAGCACAGGUUGUAGAGUGGGCGAGCGAUGCUGGCAUAAUCCUUCACCCAGCACCGGAAGUAACCCGUGAUGCCCAAGAACGCCUUCACUUGGCGUGGGGUCCUGAGCUGGGGGUACUUCUUGAGGUUGGCAAUGUGCUUGGCCGCGGGUUUGAUCUCGCCGGUGGUGCCAUUAAUGGCAUGACCCAGGAAGGUCAACUCGGGGGUGUAGCACUCAAAUUUGUCAACACUCACACGUAGUCCGGAGAUGCGGAGGAGUGUGAACACGUCAGACAACACACGGCAGUGGUCCUGUAUGUUAUCGGCGUAUGCGGCCACAUCAUCUACCCAGCUCUGCACGCUGAUGUUCAGGAGGGGCCGCAGCACCGCCUGCAUUGCACGGCAGUAGUAGGCAGGAGAGCUGCGGAGCCCUUGGGCCGCUCGGCAGAACUCAUACUGCCCACCUAGGCGGCUGGCAGUAGGCACCGCGAAUGCUGUGCAUUCACGGCUGCGUUCGUUUAAUUCCAGUUGGAAGAACCCGGACACGGCAUCCAUACUGGAGAAACGGCGCGUGGCAGGGGGAUUGGGGGUUAGGCGUUGAACUUGCUCAUCCACGUGGCCCAUGGGCCACUGGACUGGUUUAGUAACCGAGUUCAGCAUCCGGUAGUCCAGGACGCAACGGUAGCCCUUCCCAGGUCCCUUUGGAAUCAUGAUGACUGGUGCGCACCAGGGGGAGCACGAGGGCCGAAUCACACCGGCGGCAAGUAGCCUUUCCACUUCAUCGUGUAGGGCUUCCAACUCUACACGCGACAUGCGGUAGGGCUGGAUGGCGAUGGGGGUAGCAUCACCAGUGUCAAUGUCCAUUUCCACCCAAGUGCAGUGACCCAGUUGACUGUUAUUCAGGGCAAAGACGUCAUAGUUGUCCCGCAGGCACUGACGUAGCAUGUCCUGUUCAGCAGGGGUAGCACUGGUGGGGACACGGUCCAUUAGCGCAGAUACAACCGCGGCGUCUUCGUUCGCCUGGCGGUCUUGCAAAGUCUGCGCCGCGUAGGUCCGUGCGGUUGCCAGUUGCUCUUCAGGCGUAAGUCGCAUGACGUAGCUGAAGUCAGGCAAAGGCUUGGCUGGGAUUUGCGAAGCACCGUACCUCGGAUGGGCCGCCUUGAGGUCGGGAGUGUCCAGUGAUAACCACCAAUCACCAGCUUCGUCCUCUACCUCCGUGUCAGAGGUAUCGGUGGGGGAUGCCAGGGCCCAGUCGUGCCAGUCAUCGUCCUGAGAGCCCCACUCGUCUUCCGAAUCGGUAGGUGGUGGGGUGUCUGACAGGCCAAGGGCUGGAGGCUCACAUGGCGCAUCAUUCGAUGGUCCGUCGGCAAUAGCAGUUGGCCGCAUGACGUCAAGGUAGGCAUGCGUGUCCGUGCGCGCUGGAAGAGUUUGCAGCGCCAGGACUUCUCGUCCGUCGGCAAUAGGUUCUGCCUCGGUAUCAAAGGAGAGAACCUCAGGAGUGGAGCCCGCGGGGUCCUGCCGUUGGUGUGCGGGGGCUGGUGUGGCACCGUCCGAGUCGGCGGGAAUCAGGGGGACGUGCGAGUGUGACGGGAUCGGCACCUGCCAACCUUUGGGUGUGUUCGGAACAGGUAAUGGUAAUGAUGCCGUUCUUGCCUCGUGGAUAGCUUUCCACGCACCAAGGGUGCAUGAAAUCGUAGUAGUGUGUGUGGGCGCGGUCACGGUCGACCUCGUCCCACGGUUCACACCUUAAACGGCGGGGCAUCCAGGUACGGCGUGGGUGGCGGAACGCAAAUGGUACCGCCCCAUCAUGGGGGCACCCGUUGGCGUCCAGAUUCACCUCGUCUUCGGGAACCGGCGACAGGAGAGGGCUCGCCGCGCCAUCACUGAUGGCCGCCCGUACGAGGGGGGAAACUGGGCUGAAGGGCUGCAGAGGCUCAUCGGGCUCAAGUCCAUACAAGACGCGAGCUGCGUCGGCGUCACUCAAGCCCGCCAGCCUUCGUGCAAGCACGGGUGUGUAUCGUAAUGCUGCGUAAUAGCACGCCUCAAGCCGGCUGAGGCUUGCGCCAGGAGCAUGCGGCUGUAGGAGGUAGAGUAGUGCUUCGCAGUAGUAGUACAUGGCGUUCUCAGACGGGGUAGCAGUAGCGCUACCUUGCUGUUAAACGCGGUCGUGUAUCCUUCCCCAGUAUAGCAUCUGCCACUCCCAUACCCAGGUGGGAAAGGGACGGUCUGCGUAGUACCAGGUGAGGCUCUGCCGGGACAUACCCUGGUUGAUGGAGGGGAGUAGCGGUAUGACACCGCACUCAAUGAGUAGUUGGAUAUGUUCAACCAGCGCUGGCUCCAGCUCAGGCACAUACGCGUAGCACAAGGCUUGACAGCUGUCGGCAGACGUAUAGGUCGCGGCCUCGUGUCGGAAGACGAUGAGCGCCUGGUUGAGGAGGGUGUAACCUGCUUGUGGGUCAAACAGGUCAGCCGGCAACCCUUCGGAGUGAAUAAACCAGAGGGCGGCGGCGACUGCUGGGCUGAGUGAGAAGUGUCGGCCCGUUGCUUCCCAGGCGGCGACGGGGGAGUAGCCGGUGAGCAACAGGUCGUGCAGCGCUGCCGUGUAACCAGGCUUGGAGUAGUCAUCCGGGAAAGCCUGGGGCACGGAGCAAUGCGGGCGGGGGAAGACGCUGUAGAUGUUGUAGGGGGUGAGCUCCCACUCACGUGUCCUGGCGUAAUGGUCAUGAUGGCGCCAUAGCUCGAGGGAGAAGGGUUGCAGCUCCCGGGGAUGGCGCUCAACUGCCGGCCAGGUUCAGAUGACGUUCUCAUGCAGCGCCUGCAUGAGGUUGGUGUAAAGCCACGGGUGCAACAACACAGUUGGUUGCCGGUCGUGUAAUCGGUACACGAACCGUGACAGUUCUUCGUGGGUAGCCUGAAGCAUGCUGUCGGGCGCGCCCGUGUAAAAUAAGGCCCACAAGGCCUCAUAAAGUAAGGGACCAUCAAGGUGGAAACCGUUCCGGCGCGCCCACGCAAUGGCAUCCAUGGUGGGUGGUACCAUGAACUUGUGUGAGCGGUCUUCGUCGGUUUGCGUCCCCGGGUUCUCAGUGCCGGUGUUUCCUCCAUCGGUCGCACCGGUUGUGUCAACAUCAUCGAAAUCAUCCGACAUGCGCGAGAUGAUUUCGGUUACCUGCUGCCACUCGGUGUCUUCCGGUGAGGCGGCCUGAGUGUGGGGCGAUGGCACUACUUCGGUGUCCUCCGGUGGGUUGGAACGGGUUCCUUGGGCCCCGCCAGAGAACGGUAUGGCGUCAGACGCCGGAUAGUGGCGUGCAAGUUGUGCACACAUACCCUUGAGCUCGCUUCUCAGCUCAUCCGGAGUGGUUGUGGCCAGAGUAUGGAGCUCCGCAGGGGUGAAGUCCGGCGCGGGACUUCCCAACCUGUGAGUUUGGCGAUGGAGGAGGGUGUGACGUACGAAAACGCACGCCCGUUGCCACCUAGCCUUCCUUUCCGCCUGCCUUGCCGCAGCCCCGUCGGUCCGGGGUUCACCAGCCAGCGGGAAUGGCUGAGUGGCUUCUGCAGCGGCGGGACCGGCCUGGGUCGCCGAGGGGAUAGGAACAGCGGGAGGCGUGUCGUGAGCGAGGGUCAGCUCUCGUACAGCCUCUCGUGCCUGCCUUACCUCUGGCGGCUCAUAGGGUCGGCGGCGUGGGUCGGUAGGGUACUCGAAUGGCGCGGUGUCAAUCGCAAUGGGGCCCACCGUCCUUUCCUCAGGCGCCGGGUUGAUGGCGCCACACGUUUGACCAGGGUUGGUGGCGUGUGCAGGGUCACAUUGCGGGCCCUUGAGGGAGAGGAAAGGGGACGGCGCGUAGGAUGGGCGGUUGACCGUCAUCACGGGUACACGUGUAACUUUCACUGGCUUGAUUGCAAUGUUGCGUAGUCCAGUAGUGAGGUAAAUGGUGGGAAUACCAUCUGAGUUAUUGGUGUUGUCGGUGACGGGCGCCGUAUGACACACAGGCAGCGUGGAGACCGGUGCGUGUGCGUCGGGAGGCUCUGGCAAAACAGGAGGGUAGUCCGUGAUGCCGAGAGUAGCGCCGGGGUCAGCUGGCCCGACAGCGGUAGGGGCUGUCAGGUCUGGGGAAUCACGGUCGCCCGCCAAGGGAGAUUCCGGCCUGGCGUGGUUCCCAGGAGGGUCGCCAGUGGACAUGGAUUGGUCUCGUAUGGCGUGGGUACCAGCAGGAGAAGAAGCCAGCAUCAUCAUCUCGUCCACUGUCAUAGCGGCGAUCUCGGGAGCGCGCACAUAGACAAUGGGGAUCAUGCUUCGGGUUUGCCGGUCGUUGUUGUACAGCAGGUGGUUCCUCUGGUAGCAGAUGGUGGCUUGGAUGGGCCACAAGAAGUCGCAUCCCAGAAGAACACCAUAGUUAAGAGCUGUGCUCACCAGCAUAUCCAGGGUAAACGUCAUGUCACCCAGGGAUACGCGCACCUCUUUGAUGCGCCCAGCGGAGGUGGCCUUAGUGCCGCUGGCGGUGAGGAACUCAACUGACUCCUUCUCGAUGUAUUGGGCGAGGCCAAGACGGCGAAGGGUGUUCAGGGUAAUGACAGAACUUGAGGCCCCGCUGUCUAUAACAGCAGCAACACUCAUGUUCUCACCGUUCACAUCAACAAUGUGUACGGUGGCCCGGCAAACCUGGUAGCGGGACCGCUGGGAGGUGUCGGAGGCAUUGACAGCCUGGGCCAUCGUGCCUGCCGGCGUGACCUCACCCAGAUUGACGGCUGGGCCGGUGGGAGCAUUCACCCGGGCGCCCGGAGCGUUGGAAGCCGUGGGUGGUUGGCGUUGGUUGAUCGGUCCAGGGGGUGGCGGACGAGACGCCACAGGACGUUGAGGCGGCGCGGAGGUUGCACGCGGGUGGUGGUGUUGCGGCGGCGGGUGUUGGUUCGGGCGUCCAGACACUCGCUGCAUAGUGUCACCCUCGCUUGCUUGUCCAGCACCAGCAAUGACGACGUUGGCGUUGUCGUAGAUGUUGAAGGUGUCGUGUAGAUUCACUCCAGAGGUGGCGUUGACAGUAGUAGGGGAGGCGGUGGCGGAGCGGCGGCGAUUGGCAUUGGUACGAAUCACCUGAGUGGCCUCGGUGGCCAUGUGGGUGAGCAUGCGAAGCAUGUCACACCGGAGGGCGACGCCGACCGAGACAUUGCUCUUCAGUACCUUGGACAUCAAGUCCGUCGCGAGACGGCGCUCCUCAGAGUGGGUCUCUGGCGGGAUUCCAGUGGGUACGGGAUCGACACGCGUGUCGGCACCACCGGGUCCACGGGCUUGACGGCCAAUGUCUGCACGCUCCCUGGGGCGAGCAGGGGCGUCAGCUGAGCGUGGGGCUCCACGGACGGGGGUGUUGACGCCGGUAGGGGCACCGGAAGGGGUGCCCGCUCGUGGUUGCGGGGUAGCCUCUCCAGAGCGGUUUCCGGACGUGUAGCGACGGUACGGUCGUUGACGCUCGAAAUCCAUGGUGUCAGGAUCCGUCCGGACGGGCACCCGCUUGGUGGGUAGACGGCUGGGCUCAAAGUCACUCACACGCUUGGUGGUGUAAAUGGCCUCAUCGUCGUACAGUGCUGGCGGGGAGACCCGGUAAUCAUCGUAUCCUUCCCCGAAAUACAUUUCUUCCUGGUCACCGGGCCAGUCAUCCCAUUCGUCCGCGUGGUAUGCAUCGGCGUAACACGCGUCCUCAUAGGUAGCCGUAUCAGUGACCGGGUGGAAGUCAUGCAGUGGGUCAGGGUACGUGUCAAGUAGGCAUGCGCGCGAGUACCCCUCGUCCACUGAGUGAUAGCUCCGUGGCGAAAGCAGGGGUGUUUCGCAGUCAUACCCAACAGGACUGUGAGUGCCAUCCAUCAUGUAAGUCUCAUACAUGUUGGCGGCGGCAGAAGGCGAGGCGUUCUGCGUCCCACUGUUGCGCUCAAGGAGCAGCGUGAGGCGAGCCAAUUGGGAGGCGAGUUGAUCGGCAUCAGCAGCGGUUACCGGCUUUGGGUCAGGCCGCGCCCGUGGGGCGGGUCGGUCAUCCCUUCGCGGCUGGAAGUUAUCCUGCCUACGGUACCUUGCGUCGCGGUCAGAUCGAUUCUCCUGGCUGCCAUUGUUAUAGGGAGGCCGGUUCUGGUUGAAUCGGCCUUCCUGUUGGGGAGUCUCAAAUCGAACCUGCUUAUCACGGGCUGGUUCGGGGUUGGGGGGCCGUGGAGCGGCUUGCAUCACUGGGAGCGCAGCGUUCUCGUUGCGUAACACCUCACUGAUGUAAAUGGCCAGCUCAAUAGCGCGGGAUAGAGUGUGUGGCUCGCCCAGGUGGGUUUGCACACGCACCGUGCUGUUGAGUCCACGCAUAAAAUUAUGCAUGUGGGUGACAUCAGCAUCCCCGUUUAUGCCCAAUUCCGACAGCAGGUGCCGGAACCGGUCACAGUAGGAGCGAACAGUCUCAUCGCGCUUCUGACGGCAAUUGGCAAGGCGAGUGUGUAACUCGUCAGUCCUUACGCCAUACCGUUGUAGAAACGCGACACAGAAACUGUCCCACGUACGGGUUUGCUGGCGUACACCAGCUUCCCACGUACGGGCUUCCUGGCCCAGGCGACAGCGGGCAACAUCCAGCUUCGCCGUUUGCGGCCACCCAAACAACCGAGCGUGGCAAUCGAUAGUUUCCAACCAUUGGCGUGCGCUGUCCUCUGGGAAGAACACCGGGACCGCAGCCACGGAGGAGGGACUAACAGAAGGCAUCGCUGGAGGGUGUUGGAAGGCAAACUGCACUAUAAGGACGGGUUUGUGCGUUAUGGCAUGCGUUAGCAUGCGUUAAGCAUGGAAAUUCCGCAUGCGGCAAGCACGAAAAGUGCGUGCGGUACGCAGGAGGAAGCACACCGCUCGCAUGCGUCAAGGACAAGCACUUACGUUAGCUAACGCAUGGUAGUUGCCAGGACUUGCCGCGCCGCUCCCCUCUGGCUGGCACGCAUGCGUAUGCAUCCUUAGCAUACGCACGAUUAAGCACAAAUAAAGCAAAAAUGCCGGUUGCUUAGAGCUCUACGCAUGGUCUCACGCAUGCGGCACGCCUGUGCUUUACCUAAAGCAAGCUGCCACCCGGCGCUGUGUGCGUCCCGCCCGAUACUGUGCGCGUCCCGCACGGCACAUAAAAUGGGGCACAUGAGGCACCUGAAGCUCUCUUGAUGUGUUACAGUUCAUGCAUCUGCGCUCCGACACGUGCCCCUCGUACUGGUGUCGUGGUGUGCCAAAAUGGUGCAAGUCCGCACGGCUCUCCCGCUCCGUCCCCACACGACCCGCAACCCACCACGUGCUGCACGCACACACUCUGCAAGGUCUGCCAUUGCUACAAAACACUAAACGUACAGACCAGGCAUACUCAGGGUCUCGAGGCAAGUGUGAAGGCAACCGAUACGGAUCCCCUGCCAGCACUACACCCAGCCACCCGCCGAUCACACCAUAACACCAUGCGCGCACAGCGCCGCCUGCCAAUUCCGCUGCCGCCACCUGAAGUCUGCCGCUUGCCGCUAGCCACCUCCGUGCUUUAGCUCGGCCUGCAUGGUGUUUGGAGUAAGUUGGUCAGUGAAUGGUGGCACGGUGUCAUGCUAGCUCUAGGUACACGCAGGGCCUAGACCGCAUUCGGUCCCCUAGAACUAACUUCCCAUGUACGUCAUUCAAAUCCAAUCAUUCAUCCUAUUAUGAGUUGUGUAGCAAUUUCCGAUCAAACUUGCCUGGUGAGGGUUAGAAGGGCCACGCAUUUACGCGCGCUGCGCCCCGAGUCGAAUUCCAGUGCCGGACCUGAGGGGACAAGGGGAGGGGGAGGGGGGGAGCUUCACAUUCUGCAGUUCUGCCUAUGCUCUUACAACUUCGUCCAUACUGCGCAUGGAUGCUAGCUCGCUUGACCCCCUGAAUUUGUUGUCGCUUGUCGACCCCCUGAAUUGGCUGUCGCUAUGUACCUGCCUCACCUGGCACUGUUGAUUCCAGACUCUCUGAUGCUUGAUUUACAUCCUGUAACAGCAGCGUCAAGACCUGGCUUAGUUGUAGACCCGGUCAACGAGGGUCCGACACCCCCUGCGACAGCGCAGCCUAGCCCCAGCACCAGCAGCUCAUCACAUACCUUCCAAAGAUUGAUGCCAGGGCUUAGCAGGACUUGAAGACUCGCCCAGUAGACUUGAGCGCCAACUUUGAAAGCAAGUCCAUUGCCGACUGGCAGAGGACCACGAAGCCUCUACAUGGCACUGAACGAUAAGUAUGUAGCUACAUGUGACAAAGACAGGUUGCUUGAAGAGUGAAGAACUGAACUCGAAAUACAUGAGCCCCAUGCAGCCCCAUGCAACAAGGAACGCGCUCCAUGCUGGGUCUUGAUUUGCUGUGCAUGCUCCGGUCAGACCUUAAAUCAAUCUGCAGCAGGCCGGUGCGUCAGUCUUCAGCGCCGGUCCGGGCACGGGUCUCGCCUCGGCCUGCGCCUCCGCGGCUUGUGCUUAGGGAACCACCUGGAGCUGGGUACCGGCUUUCUCGGCUUCGCAUGGUUCGUCUUUAAAGCUUUCUCAGUAACGGGGAAAGCCUCACAUGCACACGCACCUCCGCUCAUGCCCACCGCCGCAUGAAGGAAGGCCGGGGGAGGCCUGGUGCGCCGGGCAGGAUACGGGGUAAGGCUCACAUGCACACGCACCCUCCUGUGGCGUUGCGGUCUGUCUGUGUGGUGCUAUCGCCUGGCCGGGCGCCCGGAGCGUGAGGAAUGCGCAUCAGCAGACUUCCAGCCAGCCAGGAACUUGUCGGUACAGUAACGCCGGCGUUCGACCAGCCAUGCACUUCUGCUCUGCCACUGCAAACUGUUUGCUGUCUGCUUACGGGUCUGGGCAUCGGCUGCACCCUACGGGACCUCGCCAACCUGCCUUGAACCCUGUCCCAUCACACGCACACGCACCCUCCGCUCACGCCCACCGCCGCAUGAAGACACGCCGGGGAAACGCCUGGUGCGCCGGGCUGGAUACGGUGUAGAGCUCCCAUGCACACGCACCCUCCGCUCACGCCCACCGCCGCAUGAAGACACGCCGGGGGAACGCCUGGUGCACCGGGCUGGAUACGGGGUAAGGCUCACAUGCACACGCACCUCCGCUCACGCCCACCGCCGCAUGAAGACACGCCGGGGGAACGCCUGGUGCGCCGGGCUGGAUACGGGGUAAGGCUCACAUGCACACGCACCUCCGCUCAUGCCCACCGCCGCAUGAAGACACGCCGGGGGAACGCCUGGUGCGCCGGGCUGGAUACGGUGUAGAGCUCCCAUGCACACGCACCUCCGCUCACGCCCACCGCCGCAUGAAGACACGCCGGGGGAACGCCUGGUGCGCCGGGCUGGAUACGGUGUAGAGCUCCCAUGCACACGCACCUCCGCUCACGCCCACCGCCGCAUGAAGACACGCCGGGGGAACGCCUGGUGCGCCGGGCUGGAUACGAUAUAGAGCUCCCAUGCACACGCACCCUCCGCUCAUGCUCACCGCCGCAUGAAGACACGCCGGGGGAACGCCUGGUGCGCCGGGCUGGAUACGGUAUAAGGCUCCCAUGCACAUGCACCUCCGCUCACGUCCACCGCCGCAUGAAGACACGCCGGGGGAACGCCUGGUGCGCCGGCCGGGCUGGAUACGGUGUAAGGCUCACAUGCACACGGGCACCGUGGUUCUGCCCGACACUGUCAAUAAAGGUGCUGACAAGCACCAGUUUGGUUUCGCUCCAUCGCGGCUGCUUGGCACAAUCACCGCCACGCGCCGCGGCAACCCCGGCCGCUGCCGUUUGCCCCGCCCAUGCCUCCCGCUCCCGUGCAGAUCCCGGGCUGAUAGCAGCGCGCAGCAGCGGCAGUCGCCAGCCUUCCUCCCCACCAGCGGCCGGGCAACCGGUGACUGCUGGCCAUGGGCAGCCGCGGCAGCCACAGCCUCUGCCGCGGCUGCUUGGAACAGUCACCGCCACGCGCUGCAGCAACCCCGGCCGCUCCCCCCGUUUACCCUGCUCAUGCCUCCCGCUCCCGUGCAGAUCCCGGACUGAUAGCAGCGCGCAGCAGCGGCAGUCGCCAGCCUUCUUCCCCACCAGCGGCCGCGCAACCGGUGACUGCUGGCCAUGGGCAGCCGCGGCAGCCACAGCCUCUGCCGCGGCUGCUUGGAACAGUCACCGCCACGCGCCGCAGCAACCCCGGCCGCUCCCCCCGUUUACCCUGCUCAUGCCUCCCGCUCCCGUGCAGAUCCCGGACUGAUAGCAGCGCGCAGCAGCGGCAGUCGCCAGCCUUCUUCCCCACCAGCGGCCGCGCAACCGGUGACUGCUGGCCAUGGGCAGCCGCGGCAGCCACAGCCUCUGCCGCGGCUGCUUGGAACAGUCACCGCCACGCGCCGCAGCAACCCCAGCCGCUCCCCCCGUUUACCCUGCUCAUGCCUCCCGCUCCCGUGCAGAUCCCGGACUGAUAGCAGCGCGCAGCAGCGGCAGUCGCCAGCCUUCUUCCCCACCAGCGGCCGCGCAACCGGUGACUGCUGGCCAUGGGCAGCCGCGGCAGCCACAGCCUCUGCCGCGGCUGCUUGGAACAGUCACCGCCACGCGCCGCAGCAACCCCGGCCGCUCCCCCCGUUUACCCUGGCCAUGACUCCUGCUCCCGUGUAGAUCCCGGGCUGAUAGCAGCGCGCAGCAGCGGCAGUCGCCCGCCAUCUUCCCCACCAGCGGCCGCGCAACCGGUGACUGCUGGCCAUGGGCAGCCGCGGCAGCCACAGCCUCUGCCGCGGCUGCUUGGAACAGUCACCGCCACGCGCCGCAGCAACCCCGGCCGCUCCCCCCGUUUACCCUGCUCAUGCCUCCCGCUCCCGUGCAGAUCCCGGACUGAUAGCAGCGCGCAGCAGCGGCAGUCGCCAGCCUUCUUCCCCACCAGCGGCCGCGCAACCGGUGACUGCUGGCCAUGGGCAGCCGCGGCAGCCACAGCCUCUGCCGCGGCUGCUUGGAACAGUCACCGCCACGCGCUGCAGCAACCCCGGCCGCUCCCCCCGUUUACCCUGCUCAUGCCUCCCGCUCCCGUGCAGAUCCCGGACUGAUAGCAGCGCGCAGCAGCGGCAGUCGCCAGCCUUCUUCCCCACCAGCGGCCGCGCAACCGGUGACUGCUGGCCAUGGGCAGCCGCGGCAGCCACAGCCUCUGCCGCGGCUGCUUGGAACAGUCACCGCCACGCGCUGCAGCAACCCCGGCCGCUCCCCCCGUUUACCCUGCUCAUGCCUCCCGCUCCCGUGCAGAUCCCGGACUGAUAGCAGCGCGCAGCAGCGGCAGUCGCCAGCCUUCUUCCCCACCAGCGGCCGCGCAACCGGUGACUGCUGGCCAUGGGCAGCCGCGGCAGCCACAGCCUCUGCCGCGGCUGCUUGGAACAGUCACCGCCACGCGCCGCAGCAACCCCGGCCGCUCCCCCCGUUUACCCUGCUCAUGCCUCCCGCUCCCGUGCAGAUCCCGGACUGAUAGCAGCGCGCAGCAGCGGCAGUCGCCAGCCUUCUUCCCCACCAGCGGCCGCGCAACCGGUGACUGCUGGCCAUGGGCAGCCGCGGCAGCCACAGCCUCUGCCGCGGCUGCUUGGAACAGUCACCGCCACGCGCCGCAGCAACCCCAGCCGCUCCCCCCGUUUACCCUGCUCAUGCCUCCCGCUCCCGUGCAGAUCCCGGACUGAUAGCAGCGCGCAGCAGCGGCAGUCGCCAGCCUUCUUCCCCACCAGCGGCCGCGCAACCGGUGACUGCUGGCCAUGGGCAGCCGCGGCAGCCACAGCCUCUGCCGCGGCUGCUUGGAACAGUCACCGCCACGCGCCGCAGCAACCCCGGCCGCUCCCCCCGUUUACCCUGGCCAUGACUCCUGCUCCCGUGUAGAUCCCGGGCUGAUAGCAGCGCGCAGCAGCGGCAGUCGCCCGCCAUCUUCCCCACCAGCGGCCGCGCAACCGGUGACUGCUGGCCAUGGGCAGCCGCGGCAGCCACAGCCUCUGCCGCGGCUGCUUGGAACAGUCACCGCCACGCGCCGCAGCAACCCCGGCCGCUCCCCCCGUUUACCCUGCUCAUGCCUCCCGCUCCCGUGCAGAUCCCGGACUGAUAGCAGCGCGCAGCAGCGGCAGUCGCCAGCCUUCUUCCCCACCAGCGGCCGCGCAACCGGUGACUGCUGGCCAUGGGCAGCCGCGGCAGCCACAGCUGCUGCCGCGGCUGCUUGGCGCAGUCACCACCACGCGCCGCCGGCGCUCCCCCCGUUUACCCUGCUCAUGCCUCCCGCUCCCGUGCGGAUCCCGGACUGAUAGCAGCGCGCAGCAGCGGCAGUCGCCAGCCUUCUUCCCCACCAGCGGCCGCGCAACCGGUGACUGCUGGCCAUGGGCAGCCACGGCAGCCACAGCUGCUGCCGCGGCUGCUUGGCGCAGUCACCACCACGCACCGCCGGCGCUCCCCCGUUUACCGCGACUACUAGUUAGUACCUAGGUUUAACUCUUCGUAAAUACAUACAACAUAGAGCCUGGCACUCGUUCCUUUGCCUUUGUUUAACAAGGCCCAUCCCUAACGCCUUGCUCAUGGCAAUUGCGUUAUACGUGCUAAUAUGCUGUUUGUUAACGCAGCAAAUGUAGAAGCAAUAGUUUGCACGUUGCAGUGCAGUUGGGCAAUCGCGAGGUUUGGCAAAGUCAUCAUUCGCUAUGUGUCUACACUCUGUGAGUUGAGCAAGUACUUGAGGUGAAGGCUUUGACGGGGCUUGCGUCGGGGGCUUGCGUAUUCGUGGGGCGCAUGCGUCUGCAUGCGUUCCGCAUGCGUGUUUCGCACGCACAACCGAGAGGUUUGCCGCCCUCCCCGCCCCUCAUGCUUCUUGCGUUCCGUGGACGCAUGCGUCCCACCCCCAACGCAUGCUUUACGCACAAAAAGCAGGUGUAACGCACAAACCCGUCCUUAUAGUGCUGAUGUUGCGGUGCGUCGCCACCGUUCAUCCCGGGAUUGGGAGACGGCGGUGAGGAGGGUGGCGAAUCGAUGGUGAAGUUGGAGAGGGGGCGUCCGUACCUGCGAUAAGCAGGGAAAACCCGAGGGUGUCAGUAGCGAUUCAAGGAUAGAAGUAAAUGGGCACUCCGCGUAGGGGGACGCGUGAGGCAGAUCAGAAGCUGACGCGUAGAAUCUGAACCAAAAGACGGGUCCGACGGACAGGUCAAGCAACAGGUUCAGGCAGGGUACGACGGGCUGACCGCACCAAUGCAGGCUGGUAGAACCCAAACCCCAGUAGUGGCAAACAAAGCAGGCGAAGCAAGCAGGUAAUGCGCUCUGGAGACGGGCUGCGGGGAAAGCUGGCCCCCGUGGAGAGUGCCCUGCGACUUGCGCAGCGGGCUAGGUGUCAAACACGCGACAGCAACUAUACACAAAACACGUUUCCCGUAACUCCCCCCACAAAAGGCGCACGCCCAGGAAACCCUGGAAAGUACAAAACUUUUUCGCGCCCACGGGUUGUGUAAUGCGUUGUAGUGCACGGGCUCACGUAUGAAGACGCGAUGAACCGCUUGUCGGUCGUGCCACCACUAAUAACCGCAGGACUGGGGAGAUGCCGGUCACAAGCACACGAACACACGCGCACGGUACGGUACGUACACAGGCACACACACGCGGCCCUUGGACGAAGGUCUUGGCUUCGGGACGGCGGCGGUGUAGAUGCAGCGAACCUUGAAUGGGUUGACGGGAGAUAUGUAUGUACGGGAGUCUCAGGAGUCUCAGGGGUGAAGCAGCAGCCGGGACUCACACACACGCUCACGCACACAGGCAGCAGCAGGGGUCACGGAGCUCUGGGCUCUGGAUGGUCUGCGGCGCUGCCUGGAGGCGGGUGGUGCUAGGCUGACGAAGGAGGCGAAGGGAGAAGGCAGAGAAAGGAGUAGGAGGCGAGGGCAGGGGAUCCCGGGAGUGCAAGGCAGGGACCAGGGCCGGAGCCGGUGGGCGCAAGGCACAACACCAAGCUACUGCGACACAGGGAUCCUAAGCACAGGCACGCGGGAGAUAGGAGUCUCAAAUGCAGGAGGGCUCGAGGCGACCUGCAGGCCCUGCAACACGGAGCGUGAAGCAGGCAAGGGAGCCGGGUGGUGGCUCGCAAAGAAGGGGGAGAAGUAGCACUGGCGCGGCGCAGACGGCAGGCGGUGCUUUGGAGACAGGCGCGGGCAGCUGUAGUCGCUGACGGGGCGCGGAGAAGUAGUCGACGGCUCCUUGAGGACGACGACGAGGGAAACGCAGGGAAACCUGUGAGGGGCCUGUGGCUGGAGAUAGCUGCACAGGACACACCAGCACGAUACAGCGCCGGCCCUUCGGGCCGGCGGAGAGACCGGAGGGGGAGCGCCCGCUCGCGGCGAGAGUCAGAGACAGGGCCGUCAGGCCGAAGGGGAAACAGACAAGCUUGAUUGCUUGUUACAGGAAACUUGGAGAGCUUUAAUUGUUGGUUGAUUGACUCGCACGCUUUGUACUUGUUUGUGUACUUUUUGGUGGAGUGAAGAAACAACUCCGCGCGUGCCCAUUUAAUGACUCGCGCGUCGUGGCCUCUUCCCGUACCAAACUCCAGCUACUUCAGCCACCUGCAGGCCACAGGUCGGCAGGCAAAGACGCUGCUACGCAAUUGCAAAUGUUCAUUCUGUCCAACAGGCCAACUUCAGCGCAUAUUGUACAGGGUAAACAACCAAACCAAAUAAUCAAACCGGAGUCACAAGACACUACACGUCACUACAAGUUCAGUUAGGCAGGUCACCGAAGCCGUGCUUCGAACUAGCAACAAGAAUCCCUUUGCUUGUACACUGUCAACAAAAGAAUAUCCUUUAUCAAACUCAAGCUUCAGGCCUGCUCUCACGUGGUUGAUGAAGUGUCGCGCAACCAUAAGUCAACCGGCCAAUCGUGUGUGUGCCGUGCCAGCCCGACACGUCCCACACACUCACUUAUGCACUGUUCAUACAAUCCCACGGCUCAUAACCUACACGGAAACUCGAUGCAGCAGACAAUAUAGUACAACGCCACCACGGAACGCUCCUCAGCUGGUCUGGGGCGGUUUAGGCUGCGCUCCUCACGGUCUGGGGCACAGCUCCCAUAGGCGAAUUAGGCCUGUGGUAACCGGGUGGUAGGGAGACACAAAACACACAUUUAAACUAUGCAGCAAAGUGUGGCGUGGUGAGAAAUUCUGGCUGCCAUGUAUUCAACCCACAUCCGAAAUGGGGCUGGGUGCGUCCGAAUCAACAGCUGGGCAUGUCCGAAAUGGGGCUGGGCGCGUCCGAAUUGCCAUUCGGAUGGCCGGUCUGGUCCGAACAUUGCGUCCGAAUCUUGGCAUCCGACAAAAGUGUCCGAAAUACUUGUAAUUCGGAUGCUAUUCGGACCGACUUCGGACCAGCUUCGGAGACAAAAACUUCGGACAGGGGUGGGGUCUUUCGGACAGGAACUCGGACCAGCUUCGGAUGGUCUUUCGGACCAGGCUUCGGAUCAGGUUUCGGACAGAUCUUCGGACCAACUUCGGACCAGAUUCGGAUGAGCGGCUUUCCCCGAGUGGCAGGUGUUGUCUCGAGUGGCCCGGGCGCAGGUGCGGUGGGCGGCGCGUGUGCAGGUAGGAUGCCGGCGGGUUGGGCCGCUGUUGCUGUGUCUGCGUCUGUCGUGCCGGCCCCGUCUGGGUGGGGCUGUGUCGCGCGUGGGCGAGCCUGCAGUGGGUGCUUGUAGCAGCGCACGUCUGUGACCGUGGCGUAGCCCAUGCGUGAGAAGGCGGUGACUAGGCCGGGUGGGAUGACAGAUGGCUUCCAUUGGACCGCGAAGUAUGGCUCGCGGGUGUUGGUUGUGUCCUCGCCCGCUUUGCGUUUGCGUGCAAUUUCCUCAUCUGUGACAGUUUGUUGGUUUGUGCGGUACAGGAUGGCCGCCAGCUCCUGGCCAUCAUUAUCCAGGUCGUAGGUAAGCUGCGCAUCCCCGUUGGUGCAGUCAUCGGUGGGAGGGUGGACCAGGUCCUUGACUACACGUUCCCGGGCUAGUUUCCAAAGUGUUUGCUUGCCCCGCCGGCGAGACAGCCUGAGUGGUGAGGCUUGCUGCCUAUCGUCCGCUUCCAUCAGGUCGUGCUGACUAUCGUCCACUUCCAUUUGGUCGUGCUCAGGUGCUGCGGCGUCGACGUCCAUUGGGUCCUCAGCGGCGGCCGCGGCUGGCUGCCCUUGGUGGAAAAGGUAGGUUUGCACGGCGCCAGUAGACGGCAUGGUUGCAUUCGCAGUGAGCAGAGUGGUUAUUGCGGGGGCCAUGGGCCGUUGCGUGCGGGUAACCGGGUUUCGGUUAUUGAAUGAAGGGGGGUCCCUUGGGUGGGGCUUGCAGAGGUGGUUGUGCCUGCUCAUGUCUUUUGCCAGGGCCGUGAACACUGAACGUGCCGUUUCGUACCCUCGUGUGCCAACUGCCAGGCUUUCGUCUCCAUUUGUGAGGCGCAUAGCCGUGCUGAUUGCGGCUUUAUCACUGGUGAGCAGGUCGUCGGGUGUUGUGCGCGUGUUUUCUGCAAUGUGGGCCUUUUGGGCGGCGUGUUUCGUGACGCGGCGGGAGUGGGCAGUUGGGUUUGUGGGAGUGCGCAUGACGGGCGUCUUCCGUGGCCGUGUCCGCAGGUUGGCUUCGGGUUGGGCGACGGGAGCUGCGGUAUCCGCGGCUGGGGCAGGAGUUGGGGCCAUCUGCCCCAAGGCAGUUGGCGUGUAUUGCAAGGGCGGGUUGUGAUAGAGUGGGCUGGCUUCUUCAAUGUCCAUUUGGGUUGUUGUGUUUGGGGCUGGGGUGAAGGGCUGUGGGGCGGGGCCUCCCGUCAUGAGUGCGGUGAGGGGUGGUGCCAUGCCCGGGGGUCGAGGGUCGUUCCGUGCGGAGAGGGCCUGGAGUUCUUCCAGGGGUGGGAUCACACGCUGGGUAGGCGGAAGCGGGUUCGGGCUCCCGUGUUUUUCCGGUGGCAUUUGGUCUCCGUCCAAUCCCGCCGUGGCAACCAGGGCCAGACUCAGCCUGUUGAGUGCAACCUUGUGUUUGUGGCGGACCCUGCUUGCCCCCAGGAGUUUCUCGAGCUCCCGGGUGCUAAUCAGAUGGCGGCUCAUAUUGCGGUCGACCAAGUGGCUGAAUUCGAGCUGGAGUUCCGCUAGCGGGAGCACGUGUUCGUUCGACAGGGAGGGGUGCUGCCGCACGCGCUGCAGCUGCGGCGUCCAGGGCCUCGACAAUUGACCAGGUAGGGGUGGUAUACGGUGUGCCCUUGUAGAAGAGCUGUAUACCAUGCUCACGAGCGAGGGUCAUCUGUUGCAGAGUUGUGAAGAAGCGCCCUCUGUCUGCAGGUAGGUGGUGUGCGAGGCUCGCACCCGCCAGGCUAUGCUGCCGUGGCAGGAGGGCACGGGUAACCACGCCCAGUCGGCCUGUGUCGUUUAGAGCAAGGACAAGCGCGCGGUUGGCCACACGCGCGUACUUGGGUAAGAGUGAGCCCAGUCCUAGGCCAUAUUCAUCGAUUGGGAGAAGGGUGGUACGGGUAGGGAAGCUGCGUGGCAGCCCAUAGCACCGUUUUGCGUAUCCGGCCAGUGUAGCGUCAAAGUUUGCGAUGUCCUGUUUCGUGUAUGGCAUCGCAGCAAAUGCAUAGGCGAUUGAGGUGUGGACGCAUUGCUGCAGCAUGCGUAGGCGUUGUGCCGGCGUGGCCAGUGACGUGGCUAUGGCCGUGCCCUUUUCUUUCACAGUUUCAGUGACGUGGGAGACUUGCGCCUUCCAGUCUAGUGAGAAGGUGAGUUGCACCCCCAGGUAUUUGUAGGGUUUUGUGGGCGGGUAGUACGGUACAGUGGUGUUACCAAUUCGUAGCUUGUUAGUCAGUUCACGGUGCAUCGCGUUCAGCGUGGCUUGGCCGGUGGGUCCGUCAAGGGUCGGGGUGGACCGGGACUUGUUGUGCCAGAUGGCGGUAGUUGCGCACUUGGUGUGAUUGACUCGCAGGCUUGCCCAGUCUGCAUAGUCCGAGAUUUUGUCACAUUGGAUCUGCAGGUCUUCCAGCGUUGUGGUCAGGGCCGCCAAGUCGUCAGCGUACGCGGCGGCGCUGCAGUGGUACCGUGCAUUGUCUUCCGGGCUGAGGCAUCCGUAGCGGUAGCCCCGCCCACCUGCGUGGAGCCACCGCACAAGCGGUUCCAUGAACAAGAUGAACAGUACAGGUGACAGGGUGUCACCUUGCACCGUGCCACGUUCUAUUGGGAUGGCGGAUGUGCAUCCAUGUUCAGUACGAAUGCGGGUGGUGGCGUGCGCGUAUAGGUUGCGGACUGCGCGUAUCAGGUCGUCAGGCAGGCCCAGAUCGAACAUAAUCUGGAGUAGCCUGUCCUGAUCGAUUGUGUUAAACGCAGAGCUGUAGUCAACAUACACUGCGUAUACGUCUUUCCCAUACAGGGCAGCGUCCUCCAGUACAUGCACAAGGUUCAGUAUCUGCCGUUCCGUGUUGCAGUAGGCCUGGAAGCCCUCCUGUGAUUCGCUGAACAGCUGGAGUGGGCCUGCCAGUUCGCCGAUGCCCAGGGUGAGCAUAGAAGUGUACAGUUUAUAGCAAGUGUUGGCUAGAGCGAUGGGCCUCUUGUUCUUGAUGUCAAGAGCGUCCCCAGGUUUUGGGAGCAGGACCGUGUCCGAAGUGGCCCAGGACUCCGGGAUUGUGGACUUGACGUACAUGAUCUUCAGUGUGUUGUGUAGGGCUCGCUUCAUGCCAUGAGGCAAGAUGCGGAGCAGCUCGUUCGGAAUGCCGUCUGGGCCCGUGGCUUUGUUACGAGAGAGGUGGGCGAUACAGUGGUCAAAGUUGGCGGGGUCUGCCAUGCUAGAAAGCAUGGAGUGUGCUUCCGGGUGCUUGUUACGCUCAAGCGUAAAGGCAUCCGUAGCGUUAGGUAGUUCGAACGGGUACCCACGCAUUGCGCCAGGCGACAGGCGAUAUUCACCUGUGCGGGGCCCUCGUGGGGGGGCUGACAGUUUGCGGAAGUGGCCUUCCAGGGCGGUUAGAAUGCUGGGGGGGUCGGUUACCACCUCGCCUGUUUCAGGGUUGCGGACCGCGGGGAGGCCACGUUCGGUUGCUUCUUUCUGAAAGAUACGUAUGUGGUAUGUUUUUUUUUUUAGGAAUCAUCCUUACAAGGUUGAACAGGGGCAGACGCGCUGCCCCCCUGCUGCCUGAAAGCAGCCUGUUCCCCGAGACCAGAACCCUGACAGGGCAAGAAGAGAAGAAAAGAGAAGAAAACAGAAAGCAAACACCUCGAGACCGCCACCAACCACCCCCAUCCAUCCCACCCACCCCACCCCGACCCGGCAGACAGAGCAGGAGGCUGGCCCCCCCGCCCCCCGGGAGGGGUUGCACAAAAACACCGCCAGACCUAACCCAAGCACCAAACUAUACCACAGCCUAAUUGCAAGAACCACCACCACCGCGCGCCAGAAAAGAAAACACCAGCGCUACGCACUCGCCCCGCCCAAACCCACCCCACCCCCACAAGUCGGUUGCUUAAGCAACACCCCAGGAGAACCGGCAGAGGAGACACAAGCAGAAAACUAAACGGGCCAGAUGUGGAGCUGACUAAGCGGGCUCCAGCCCGCUGCAAGACGCGCUGUGCGGGAAGUCCCACAGCCGCCCAGGCGCUGCGACGCCAGCCAGAGCUAAAACACAUGGGCGCCAGAUAAGCCGAUGACGAUGAAAUGCCACGCCAGCGCCUGGAACGAACCGCCGCCCAAAAGGAAACCUAGGGGGCCUGCACAGGUGAUGCAAGCGUCAGCCACAAGUUCAACUUCGGUGACCCACCCUGAACCUCCUCCACUUCACAAAGCGCGCCACCCGCCGACCAGAUGGCAACAAAGUGCUCCAGCUUAGCCGCCUUGAGCUGUGCGGUGAGAAGCUGAGUGGGCAGAGCCGACAGGGUUUCAGGGGUUAGCGUGGCGGCAGUGAAACGCAGCUGCAUCACCCUGCGCAGCUCGCUGACCACCUCCCGAACCACAUGCUCCGACGUCUGCUUAGCAGAUGCAGCCACUGACGUCCUUUCUGCGGCGGCAGGUGGAGCAAGGGGCACUGCGCACGCCCCUGUUACCCAGCGGCGAGCAGGCGCCACCUGCUGCCCACCACGCUGACGACACGACCCUCACGGCGCGCGACCCGGCGGUGGACGGGCCGGUCCUGAUGGUGGCAGUACUGCUGUUCUGCCGCGCGUCCAACGCCCGUGUCCAUUCGGACAAGAGCAAGGCCAUGGGCCUUGGCAGGUUUGCGCACCUGACGGGCCCUUGCCCACACACGGGGGUGCCGUUUACCACUGGCGCCGUGACGCACCUGGGUGUGCCCCUGUCGUGGGACUCUGAUGCGGCUGCAGCUGACUUGUACACCCGGCGGUCUCGCGGCAUGGCGUUUGUGGCGCGUCUGUGGGCUGCCCUGUCUCUGACUCUUGUUGGCCGUGUGCACAUUGCGAAGCAGGUGCUGGCGGCGAAGCUGGCCUACCACUUCAGCUUCCUCAACCCGUCGCCUGCGCAGCUGAAGGAACUCACCGACCUAGUGGACCACUUUGCUGCGCGCUCCAUGCACGCUGAGGACGCCAGCCUGGUGUCGCACGGGAACCCGCUCCUGCUGCCAAAGCGGGAGACGGCCUGUCUGCCGUACAAGGAUGGGGGUGUCAACCACGUCGACCUGCCUGCGUUCCUGUCUGCCCUGCAAGCUAAGAUUUUCGCCCUCCUUGCCCAGCCAGGCCGGCAACCCUGGAAGAUGCUCACCCGGGCGCUGCUUACCCAUGUGCGCCCGGACUCCGCCACCACGUGGGCGUGGGUGUACAGCGACGCGCCGGCGCCAGCGGGGCUGCCUGCCCGGCUUUUUUUUUUUGAGGAAUCAUCCUUACAAGGUUGAACAGGCUGGCGGCCGCGGUCGGCCACGUGCGGAGCGCGGGUGUGGAACAGCAUCCGCCGCAGCCAGCCUUACCUGCCUUGCGGGCUGUACAGGGCGGGCAAGGGCAUUCGGCCACGGGUGACCACGGGGUGCGGGGGGUUGGGGGCGCACUGUCCUCACCCCGCCUGCGGGCCACCUGGCCCGCGGGCGUGGGCCAGCCUGACGCACAUCUUCCUGGAGUGUCCAGCUUAUGCGCAGGCGAGGACGUGGCUGCAGCAGCUGUGGGCCUGCGUUGCGCCCCAGGCAGCGGCGCCGCCAGUGACGGACGCGGGCUUCAUGCUGGGGGACCGCAUGGGUAUGUGGGCCUCAGGCCCGCGGGGGGCGGGCGCGCUGCUGUGGAGCACUUUGCGGGCCACCUUCUUGUACGCCGUUUGGUUUUUUUUUUGAGGAAUCAUCCUUACAAGGUUGAACAGGGGCAGACGCGCUGCCCCCCUGCUGCCUGAAAGCAGCCUGGUCCCCGAGACCAGAACCCUGACAGGGCAAGAAGAGAAGAAAAGAGAAGAAAACAAAAAGCAAACACCUCGAAACCGCCACCAACCACCCCCAUCCAUCCCACCCCACCCCACCCCGACCCGGCAGACAGAGCAGGAGGCUGGCCCCCCCGCCCCCCGGGAGGGGUUGCACAAAAACACCGCCAGACCUAACCCAAGCACCAACCUACACCACAGCCUAACCGCAAGAACCACCACCACCGUGCGCCAGAAAGGAAAACACCAGUGCUACCAACACUCGACCCGGCGUAACCCACCCCACCCCCACAAGUCGGUUGCUUGAGCAACACCCCAGGAGAACUGGCAGAGGAGACACAAGCAGAAAACUAAACGGGCCAGAUGUGGCGCUGACUAAUCGGGCUCCAGCCCGCUGCAAGACGCGCUGUGCAGGAAGGCCCACAGCCGCCCAGGCGCUGCGACGCCAGCCAGAGCUAAAACACAUGGGCGCCAGAUAAGCUGAUGACGAUAAUACGCCACGCCAGCGCCAGGACAGAAACGCCGCCCAAAAGGAAACCUAGGGGGCCUGCACAGGUGAUGCAAGCGUCAGCCGCAAGUUCAACUUCGGUGACCCACCCUGAACCUCCUCCACUUCACAAAGCGCGCCACCCGCCGUCCAGAUGGCAACAAAGUGCUCCAGCUUAGCCGCCUUGAGCUGUGCGGUGAGAAGCUGUGUGGGCAGAGCCGACAGGGUUUCAGGGGUUAGCGUGGCGGCAGUGAAACGCAGCUGCAUCACCCUGCGCAGCUCGCUGACCACCUCCCGAACCACAUGCUCCGACGUCUGCUUAGUAGGCUCGCGGGACCAGUACGCACACCAGACGGCGUACAAGAAGGUGGCCCGCAAAGUGCUCCACAGCAGCGCGCCCGCCCCCCGCGGGCCUGAGGCCCACAUACCCAUGCGGUCCCCCAGCAUGAAGCCCGCGUCCGACACUGGCGGCGCCGCUGCCUGGGGCGCAACGCAGGCCCACAGCUGCUGCAGCCACGUCCUCGCCUGCGCAUAAGCUGGACACUCCAGGAAGAUGUGCGUCAGGCUGGCCCACGCCCGCGGGCCAGGUGGCCCGCAGGCGGGGUGAGGACAGUGCGCCCCCAACCUCCCGCACCCGGUGGUCACCCGUGGACGAAUUCCCUUGCCCGCCCGGUACAGCCCGCAAGGCAGGUAAGCAUGUUGCAGCCGGUACACCAGCACCUUUGCCCCCCGACUGGCGUGGCUGUCCCACAGCCUCCGCCACGUACCCCGCAGAAGGGACGCAUCCGGGGGCGGCAUGCGAGGGUCGCCCUCCACCGCCGCCGCUGCUGCCGCCGCCGCCGUGGCAGGCCCAGUGCUAGGUCCCGCCCCUCCCGCCGCCUGCUCCUGCAGCCGCGCGGACCGCCGCGGCCCCUCACCCGACUGCUGGGACGGGGACGCAUACGACUGCAGUUCUCUCGCCGGCGUGUUCUGCAGCCCGGCUGCCGCGGAGGUGCGGUGGAGCCAGGGGUCCAGAGCUACCGGGUUAUUGUGGAAAUGCUGCGCCGCCGUGGUGGUCAGCUGCGCCGCUGCACGCUGCCACUCCGCCUCCCGCUCCGCCAGCCGCGACUGUGCCGCCGGCUGGGUCCCCGAAUCCCCCGACUGCUGUGUUGGCGCCGGGCACGGCAUGGCUGCGGGGCGGGCCGGAGCCGGAGGUGCGGCCGGGUUGGCCGCGGUGAUGGCCCGCCGCACGUCCCGCACCUUGUAGUCCGCUAAGCUGACACCCGCAAUCCGGCAGUGCUCCGGGUGCACCACCACCCCAGCCUCCGGCGCCAGGAAGUAUGGCGCCCGAGGCCACACCCCCGCCCGGUCCCCUGGUGAUGCUGCAUCGUACACCGCCCGCUCUUCAAAGGUCCACAGGUGCCGCGGCUUGCGAUGCUGCAGCACACAGGCAGGCUGCCACGCCCCAUCCACCGCCGGGGGCAGCACGCCAGGCCCAGGCUCCAAGAGCCGCCCCGUGUAAUGGACGUAGGACACAGCCCCCGCAGCGUUAGCCACCCACAGCUGGUCCCAUAUGGGACCACGGGGCCCCAUACAAAGGGCCACCCAACACACUGCUAACCGCAAUCAGCCGCAGCUCACACCCUAUCUCACACCACUUGGUCCUUACCUUGACACAAGCCGGCCUCGAUUUGCGAAACCUUGUAGGUAAAGAGCGUACACCCGAGGGGCGCGCAUGCCUCAUUCCUUCUGAUAUCCUCUUCCAACACCUGCCACGCAACCAAUGCCAGCAUAAGCACCGAGUGGCCCUAAACCGCCUUAGCCUAUGCCUGAGCGCGGAAUGCGAUGGUGCCCGUGAGGCACCUUUCAACCAGGCUGAAAACUACAAAUGUCACUUACCCCUUCCGCAGCGAUACAGAGCCCUCCCCAACACGCCAGCCUUUGCCGCCCUCCUACCCCGCAAUGCCACCCCGGGCGAGCUAACAACCCAAUCUACGAUGGACGCCCACCUCCAACACAUGACUGCAUUACACCCCAAUACCGAGGCUCAACCACCCCAACACCCAAAUGGCCUAGGCCCCCGCCAGCGCCAAACCACGUUAGCCCACAUGCUGAGAACAACAGGUGCCCCACCCACAGCACCAACCCAGUCGCCAACGGCAACUCUAACCCAAACUCCGACAGACACACUGCCUACCCCGCCACUAGCGCAACCCAUGCCACCGCCACUAACACAGCCCACGCCCCCACUAACAACACCAGCGGGCCCGGACGCCCCCAACACCCAGACACCACCCACAGUAGCGUCCCUCACAACGGCCCACCAGCAGCCAAAAAGUAAGAAACAACGACCCAACGCCAUCAAGCGCCUACAGCAAAAGAUUGCUGCUGACCCCCGGCACGACCCACUGCCACCUACCGAUAUGCGCAGCCACACAGAGAAAUCUGGCUUUAUACUACGACAACUACGACUAACAACGACCCAGACGAAAAUGACUCCGGUCCCCCGAACUUUGUCAUGUGGGCACCACACUACUUUGCCAAUGUACAAAAAGACAUGCAAGGAACCAACCGCAUGCCUCGACUUGGAAUUCCCCGCCACCACAGCAAGUUCCCGCAAAACCGCACUCGCCCCAACCCGACCCGUACAACCCCAGCCCACCUCGCAGACCCCUACUUCCUGGGCAGUCAGGUGGACGACACCAAUCCGCUAAACCCCGUCACAGCUUACAUAUCCGCAAACCCGCCAACAACACCUCCCACCUGUGCUUAUGACUCCCGACCGAGAUGGGCAGACACUGGGGAUUUCAUGAUUGCACCUGAGCCUCCAAACUGGCCGAACAUCACUGGUGCCACACCGGGGGACAGCCACGACCCCCGCCAGGCUGACCACGACCCACAAGGACAAAUGCGUGCAUAAUAUAUGCAGGAGCGUGAACGCCUCCGUGCACACUUGGAUGACCACCCACCCCAACCAAGACCCUUCAAGCGUUGGAUGGGAAUCCGACUCCAGCUCCUGACAGGCAAACUACCCUGGCCGACGCAGGCAUACCACGUUGCCCAAGCAGCGAAGCAACUAGUGUACUCCCUGUACCACGACAUUGAGGAAAUCUCACACAUUCAAGCUGGGCCCAUCACUAAAGCCGUCACUGCCCCAGAGAAGGGUGACAGUCUCCACACCGAGCGCUACUAUGAGGUAGCUUGGAAGGACACAACCAUCGUUAAAGGAGCGGCUGAGGCCUACACCCGCAUGAAGUAUACUGGGACUGCUGCCGCACACAUGGGAUACGGGCAAGCGUGCUGCAAACAUUUCCUGCGCAUGAAAUGGGACCCCACCAGCGAACCCGUAGACAAAUGCCCCACCCUCCAAGGGUGGACCCCUGCCAUCUCCGAACACUUGCGGAAACUUGCAGAACCCCCUACACCCAUGCCACAACCCAAGCCCAAAGACGCCCGUCUUACACCUGCCCAACAGCAAGGGCGAUGGACGCAAGCCGACGUGGCCGCGUCCCACGUCCGACGUACCACCAAACAGAACACGCGCAUUGACACCAACCCGUGCAACCCCUACCUCGACGUCCACCCCACCGGAAGGUAUACAAUCCAAAUCCCAGACACGUACACUGAUGAACGCACCCUCGCCCACGUCUACAGCCCUACCGGACGCCACAUAGCAUCCAUUACGCUAGGCACCUUGCUGACUCUUAAAGCUCGGUAUGAACACGCCCUAUCUACCCACCAUGACGCAACCAGCCCGCACCGAUCUCAAGGGGGCUUCCCGGAAGACCUGGCUAAACUGCUACUCCGCGCUCGGGUAGACAGCAAAGGCAAGACAUGCAAGUCGGCCCCCGCACGUGAGCGCUCUCUCCCCGAGUCCCUGAAGCUGGCGCUGUAUAACUGCCUUGCCUCGACACACUCAGACCCUGACCGCCCAGUGGGGCUGGUGGAACGCUUUGCCUCUCCACUCAACUGCUCGGGCCGGGCCACUAAAUAUUACAGCCAACACGCAGCUGACUCCCUCUUCGGGGCCUCACAUGAUGCGUACACGGCCCCGUUUGAUGGCCUUUCCCUCGCCCACCCUGACCCUGACCCAGACGCCUGCACAAAGGCACUGGCGUGGGCAACAGCAUCGAUCGAACACCUAGAACACCAGGCCACCCCCGCCAUUACCUUCAUGAUUAUCCCACAAGGCAAAGGCGCCGCCAGCCGGUGCCUUGCGAGUCCGCAUGUCACCAUCCUGGCCCUGAUUCCGCCUGGCGUAUCCGCCUCUAGCAUGUUAGAUGGCCUCGGGGCGGCCGACGAGGCUGCCAGCAGCAAGCAGGGCCUGCAGCUACUCCUCAUUGCGAACACCACAGGGGUACAAGCACUCAACUCCAACAACAACCUGACACGUCUCCAAACCUCCCUGGCCGAACUUGGAGCAGUGCCGCCACCGACCUCGCAACCCCCAGGGCGCCGACAACCACUGGAGUGGCCCGCGCGCGUAACCCUCCCCCGUGACCGCACAGCCCCACCGGGCCGACCAUACAGCCACCGUGCAAAAGCCCGUGCAAAGCAGCUAACUAGACCCCAAGCCCCAGCAGCACGGGGCCUGGACACAUGCCCUACGCCCAUGCCCACGCUCUCUGCCCUCUACACCACACGAGCUGCCUUCCCCACUCGGAGCAGAUACCUGUACGAUGCCGCCACCAUUGUUUGGACCGACGGAUCUUGCAUCAAAGUUGCAGCCGGUGAAGAUGGCAACAAAAUGAACAAACUCGGUGCCUGCGCGUGGUCCCAACAGACCGAACACAUCUACGUCGAACCAGGCGGCCUCAACAGCACCAACACAAUCCAGAGAGCCGAACUAUCAGCCAUUCUCGUUGCGUUAGAAUACAUCCGCCCCCGACUCUGUCUGCUGGGCAUGACCCAAGUAACCAUAGCCAGUGAUUCCCUAGUGUCUCUCUAAUUGAUCCGCCGAGCCCUUACUGCACCACAACGACUCCUACUAUCCAAGCAUAAAAACCUGCUGGAAAACAUACUCCACGAGCUACAAAUGUAUGCCGACGCCGGGGUCCCAGUCCAGCUGCUAAAAGUCCGCUCUCACACAGGGCUCCACGGCAACGAGGAAGCUGACAAAGGUGCCGCCAAAGUCGCCGCCAACGACAUGGAGGCCAUGGGGCAGGCCAUACGCUUAGCACCAGACGAACCGUGGUCCAACAUCUGGUGGCCCAAACGCAACUCUGACAAUUUCUACCUAAGUGACCUAAACCGUGGAGUCCUGAACUCAUUGCCCCCCGAAGCACAACAAGGCUUUACCAAUAAUACACCAGUGCUGGAGCAAUGGGCGGAAGCAUCUGCCAAUAAUAAUAAUAAUAAUUACAACGCCGGCCCAUAGGGCCUGGCAUGGAUUAACGGGGCAAGGUGACUAGGGCGAGAGGGCCCGCCCCCCUCACGCUGACGCCUCACCACGAAAGAGUCACAACCUCCAAACUACAACCUCCAUGUCCUAGGCCGCUCUUCAAAGUCCACUACGUCCAAGCCUGCACACCUAGCAUAUCGAGCUAGGGAAACGCCGCGUUAUAGUAGUGGAGCACUGCCAGUUCGUGCAAACCGAGGAGCCAUGGCGCUCCUCCUCGAGCCUUGGAUCUUGAGCCUUGUCUUGAACCUUGGACCUCGCCACUAAAUCGGACUUCUGCACCACGACCUUUCUAGGUUGCAGCGGGCAUAAGCCCGCAAUUGCCACUAAGGGCAAUUACCUGUCGUUCGUGGGAUCACCAAUCGGUUUCGCACCAAUCUUUCACCUUUUGCAUAAUUGGGCUUUUAUCCGGAUUCGUACCCGGGUCCCUUCUGCUGUAAGGACGAGUCAAAUCGCUAACCAGCUAGGCCGGGGGCCUGAUUGUGCACACCCUCCUCCUCUGGGCGCGAGGCGGGGGAGGGGGUGGGUGUGGGAUGCCCCGCGGCACGUAUGGUCAAGGUGUUGGGAUAGGGAGGACGCAGGCCGGCGACGAGGUUUGCUGCAUGUAUACUGCCGCCAUGCAGCAGCCAAGACCUUCGUUGAAGGGCGGCGUGCAUGUGUGUGUGUGUGUGUGUGUGUGUGUGUGUGCGUGUGUGUGUAAUGCACGGUAUGUGCGUGUUCGUGUGUGUGUGUGUGCCUGAAAGGUUUGUCAGCCGUACAGGCAUUGAUUGGUGCAAAGUAAGCAAGGAGUGUUCACCAGUGCCAUCACCAACAAAACUGAUUAACGGGCUGUGUCAUGAUGGUUUGCAAGUCAAGAGCGCUCAUAUCUUACGAAGGCAGGGGCGGCGUCAGUGGCCGAAUUCCUUAAAAUAGCUUGGUUUAGUUGACGAAACAGGCUGCCGCUGCUUCACGCCCCUGACUCGUACUCCUUGCUGCGUUCCGCCGACGUAACCUGACUCUCCCGUCAGGGGAAUCCCUGUCUCCCGCCGUCCACACUCAACAUGCAUAGAUACAGCCGUUUGAGCCUUCUUACGAUAUGCCACCAAUUCUAGCGCGCGACCAAGGCAAAUGUAACGACCGCCCCCAACAUCAUUAGCGCUUCUAUGGUGGUGUCCAUUCGUGAGGCAGACUCUGAACACACGCAACAGUGCAACAACAACAGCUAUAACAAACCACCUCAGCGCUUGUGAUGAUCUGUGGUCAACAGCCGUCAUUGAUGUGUGAGGCCUACGUCUCCCUUGUUGCAAGUCGUGGUGCAGAUGCAAGCAGAGCUGGCCUGGCUUAGGGCACGUGCGCUAGUACCCACGCAAGCUGAUACGGGAGCACGUUGAUCACGUCGGGUGGUGCGCCAUGGCGAGAGUGCAUCAUGUGCAGCAGAGCAGCAUGCAGGCGCCGCCAUUCAUCUACGGAAACGGGCGCGUGCCAGGCCUCCCACAGGUGCACGACUUCGAAUCCGUGGCCGUACACGCUCCACGCCACGUCAGACGUGUUGGUGAUGGUGGGAGGACCAGGAGUGGGUGCAAGUGCAUUGCCGGGCGCGGUGGGAGUGGUUGGCUGGAGAACGUUGAAUGCUGCAACGGCCAUGCCGUCGGGCGUGGCGCGCAGGACGCGCAGGGUUGGCAGGUUGCAGGCCCAGAGUGCGAAAUUCGCGGCACUGGAGAAACUGGAGGGAGCGUCAGGUGGGCCCAGGAGAAUGGCACCGGUCCAUGCGCCGGUAGACUGCACUUGUUGGUGCCCCUGCGUAGGGUGGGGGAUGGCGGAUUGGAGUGGAGGUGUGGGCGUGCAGUGGAAGGCAUGGGGCCGCAGCAGGUUUUGGAUGCGGCAGGUAGAGGGCGGGAGGUACGGUGGACACCUAGACUCCUAGGCACGACGCUGCUGCCGUGCGAGCCCCUGCCGCACCCGGACACGUGCCCGCACCUGCUGUAGGAGUAGGUCGUAUGCCCAUUGCAUAGCGUGUUCGCUGCCGGCCAUGGCGAUGGCGUCAAGGUCGAUGCGAGCGCCACGGUCAUGGAGGAGCUGCAGGAUGGGCAGGGGUGCGCCAUUGCGGGCCGCGGAGGUGAAAGCCGAGUUGUAUGCCCAGGUGUCCUGCGGAUGGGCAGGCGGUACGGCUGCAGCCACCAUGGCAACUGUGUCCCAGGAGGAGAUCUGUGCAACCAUGUGCAAGUCGUGCGCUGUUAUGCUGAAACCGCGGCGUAGGAAUGCUUCUGCUUGUGGGCGGUUGUCUCUAAGCCGGAUGACGCCCUCGUCGCGGGUCGAGGAGAAGAGCGUACAGCCUGCGUUGCAGUGGCGCGCGGCCAUUUCGCCCAUGUGGAGGACUGUGUCUGCAGCUUCGUCAGGGGUGCCAUGCUGUAGAAGCAGGCGGUUGCGUAGGUCCUGCGGCACAGCCACGCCGGCUGCGGCCAGCGUUGCUAGGACCGCGGGAAUGUUUCUGAGGUUCGGGUCGCGCAGGAACGUGUCAGAGCUCAGGAGGUCUGUUGCAACAGCCUGCCAGCCUUGCGGUGCGCGCAGCAGCAGCAGCUGGAUGCUGUCUGUGUUGGGCACAGGCAGUUGAGACGCCGCGAGUGUGAUGCUGCGGCAGACGCGCAGCACGACUGACGGAUCGGGUGGCUGAGGUGCUGGUGGCUGCGGCAAGGCUUCUUGAAUGGCUGGCUGUUGUGGUGGUGGCGCAGGCGCUGCUGGCGGAGCCACGGCUGGGAAGGCAGGUGGCUGUUGUGCUGCCGGCGCGUCCACCGCGGGCGGUUCUGCUGCUGGGUCCGCAGGCAGUGGCAGCGGCAAGCUGUGCGGCCACUCAGGAAUGUAGGUGGUGAGCACGUGGUUCAGGAACUGGGUGGAGCAGCCUGCUGCGAUGCCGUCCAUGAUUUUGGCUCGCCAGUACGCGCCGUACCAGCUGUACGGCGGGGCAUGCUGCAGGGCGCGCUCGACUAGGGCUGUGUGUCCGCGUGCAGCCGCUGCCUUGAUGCUGCUUGCUGGAAGGGUGUGCCAGGCGUCGUGCUGUGCGAAUCGGGCGUUAAGGAAGUCUAGCACACUGCUGUGGCCGCCGAUGCAAGCGCCCUGUUGCGUGCUGGUGUACAGCUCUUGCCAGUCUUGAGGGUCUGCGUGUGCUACCGUGUCGAAGAGGAGCGUGAGGACAUCAAGGUGCCCGGCGCUGCCGGCGGCCACGAAUGCUGAGCAGGUGAGCGCGCAGCCGUGGCUGAUGAGCUGUUGGCAGAGGUGCAGCAAGCCAGCCUGCGCGGCGGAUGCCAGUACCUCUGUGUUCAUUGCAACGCCGCUGUACUGGAUUGCUGCAGUGGCGCUGGCUGCGUGCCCUGACGCCGCUGCGAGGCAUGCGAGCCGGCGUCGUUGCGGCAGGGACAGGUGGGCCCAGGCGGCUGCGGUGGCGAAGUUCUCCUGGAAUGCGCGGCCGGGCCAGCCCGGUGGUGGCACGUGCGUGUCAAGCCGCCGAGGUCGCACCACGUCCUUCUUUGCGACUGCUGGCACCUUUGGUCCGCCUCACCGCGAUCGAGUCGAGCGCAACCUCAAUGGUGUGCGCUUCAUUUUCCUAGAUGAGUUUAGCACGUGUGGGCUGUCCCACUGGGCGCGCAUUUGCAUGCAUGUGCACGCGGCACGGAGGCACGUGGGUAUAGACAGCACGCACCUAUAUCACGGGCCGCUGUCAGAUCUGCAUGGCCUGCUUGUUGGCGACUUGCGUCAGUUGCCACAGCCACGGCACGUGCCGCUAUAUAGCGGUGCUGCGGAAGAGAGCUUGCGGCAGCUGCUGGCGCCGGGCGCGGGGGACGGCGGGGCCAUGGAGCGCCAGAUCCGGCAGCUGGAGCAUCCGGAGGGCAGCAUGAACCUCAUGGGGCGGGAGCUGUGGAAUAUGGUGCCGUUCGCGUUCGUUCUCACUCACCAGCAUCGGCAGCAAGCAGGCGUAGGUGACAACAACGAACCUCUCUUCAUGCUAGCGGAGAAGUUUGGUGGCGUGCAGGAAAUCUCUCAGGCAGAUCUGGAUACAGCGUGCCAGCAGCUCAACGCGCGUGUUUGGCAGCCCCCGAAGCCAGGGAUUGACCCCGUGCCCCAGCCCUUUGCAGUUGUCCAGCGCCAUGUUGUGCGGGUUCCACUGGCAUUGCAGCUCGUGCAGCUGCAUGCGCUCGCGCAGCGUCAGCAGCUGCUGCUAUGGCGUAGCGCGGACUUGUCGCCGGACGGGAGCAGCUUACCUAUUUCGCAUGUGCAUCAAUUAGAGGCGCUUGGCGGGGCCGAGGAUGAUAGCGGUGUGCCCGCUGUGUGCGCAUUCUUUGCUGGCAUUCGUUACGUGUUUACAUCAAAUGAGCAUGUGCGUCUGUAUCACAUCAACAACAACAGUGCCACAGGCACCGGCAUUGUUCUGCAUCCCAACGAGUCACCAUUGCCAGAUGCAAGCAUUGCCCCCGUGCAUGUCCUCAAGUUCGUGCCCUCGGCUGUAAUGGUGCGCCCCGACGGGCCUGAUGCGGGUCGGGUGUCUGUCGAUCAGGCCCUGGAUGUCGGGGAGAUUCCUGUUUUACCGUGCAGUGCUAUGUUCACAUCGCAGCAUGCAACCCUGCGGUUGCCUGUGAUGCGCUGGGGCUUUCGUGUGGAGCUUGCGUAUGCAGUCACCGAUUACUUUGCGCAGGGGCAAACUCUGCCAGCGCACGAACUGUGGCUGGUGGAUAUGUGCAAACCGCAGCACGGCAGUUGGCGGCGGGCUUCAAUUUACGUAAUGCUCACCAGGUUUCGUGGGUUGCAUGCCUUACAUUUAGUGCGUCCGCUGUGGGCCUCGCGGGCCGAAGAGCGCCGGCUUAAAAAGGCGCUGCGUACCAUGCUAACGCCCGAGGCAGAUCUAGCCGCGGAAUGGCAGCGGCUAUUGAGGCUCUCGCAGAGCACAGCAGUAGCAGUGCCAGGUAUGAUUGUGCGCAUUCAGGCCAGCAUGGCUGCCUCAUAACCAAGGCUUUCAAUGCAUGCAGUAGUGUUUUUAACAUGCGCGAGGUGUACUGACAGAUGACCUGGAAGCGUGGAGUACCUUGUGGGUGGUGAGUGCUGACUGCAAUUUACAGCAGUGACUUUCUUGUUGGUGUUUGGUGUGGUGACCAUCAUGCUUGGCUUCGCUGGCUGGACGUAUGUCACUGAGCUACGUUCGGGUUUAGUUUCUACCUGUCCUGUCUCUGCGUGAAGCCGGGGUAUUGUUUAUCUGCUUGCUUGUCGUGCGUUGGAUUGUUGUGUGUUUACAACAGGUUGAUGUGUGGCGUGGUUAAUCCCUUGCACUUUGAGGAGGUUAUUGUUAGCCAGCUGGUGUUCGCACAGGAGGUUGGUGGUCGAUGAACAGUCGACCGACAGAUGGAUCGCGGGAUUUGUUUUUGGCAUUUACCGCUUGGAUUCUAUUCGCAACGUAGCUCGGAAUACACGCUUAAUAUGCAUAGUUAGAAGACUUCGGGGACGCAAAUCGCUCGGAAAUGGAGGAGGGUCUCAAUAUGCUCGGCUCGCGAUGUCGCGCUCUUGAGCUUGUAUUAUGCACUGUGCGCAAUGCGCGUUCAGCAUGCAUAUUCUUACGAACAACUAGGGACUUGAGUGACGCGGUGUGAAAAUCAGUCGGGGUCUCGACAUGCUUGGCUCGCCAUUUCGCGCUCCCGAGCUCGUUGUGUGUGUUCCGAACAAUGCACGCUCAGAAUUACAUGUUCAAUAUGUCCGUCGCGAUGUUCGAGCUUGAAAACCGACAAGCAUGGUGUAUAGAUACACCUGGUAGCCUGAAUUCCUGUGUUUUUGGUGUAUUUUGUUGAUGUUGCAUCACGCCGUGCCUUGUCACAUUCAUGUUUUUUGUACCGGCGUGGCCUUGUUUGUAAAUUUCGCGGCGCCCUGAUCUUAUCUACUUCUUCGCUGUGAUCUGGCAAAAAAAACUGUUCUUGACGGGAUUCGAACCUGUGACAGCAUCUCACUAAGCGCCAUAAUCAGACCCUCCAGAGGAGGGUGUGCACUGAGUUAGCGAUCCGGUGAUGAAGCAUCUGCCAACAUGUGCCCCACCCUCAGCAACCGCACCCUCGCCAGCUCCACCAGGCACCCCUGGCUGGUCAAGCAAAUACUCUACGCCCGCUAUGGCUACCUCUUCAACGCACAGCUUAAACGGCGCUACCGCCUGGGAGGGAACGGCAACUGCCCCCUCUGCCACACCCCUGACUCCGGCGGGCACAUCCUCGGAGGCUGCACACACCCUAAAAUGAAAGGUGCGUACAUCAAUCGGCACAACUGGGCAGUCCAGCGUGUCGCCAAAUGCAUCUCCAAAGGGACCUACGGGAACGGGUUCAUGGUCAUGGACGCGGGCCCGCUAGCCGACCUGCCACACUAUGCGUCUGCACAACGCCCCCCCGCCUGGCUGGCUGCGGAGAGGACAUCACCACCCCUUAUUACAAGGCUCAGACCUGACAUUCUGUUCAUCCCAAACCUGCCCGCCCAUGAAACACAUAGAGAAGGGUACCGCCCGCCCCUGAACAAAGCACGGCUGCCCAUCUAUAUCCUUGAAAUCGGUUACAGCUCUGACGUCCGCCAUUUGGACAAGCGGGAAGAAAAAUCUCAACAACACCAAGAACUCAAGCGACUGCUGGAAGCGGCCGGAUGGACGGUCCACUACUCCACCAAUGAAUGCCUUGCGCUCGGAGUGACUGGGGCCAUCCCUUGCAACCUCACUAAGCUGCUCACCUCUCAACUUGGGGUGACCCACACAGCCGCACGAGUAUGCGGAGAGAGGCUCCACACACACGCUGUGAACAGUGCGGGCGGCAUUAUCAAAAUGCGCCGAGUAACCGAGCAGGAACUCAAACCGAGAGGCGGGUGAGCCACGGCUCCCCCACACCUCCUCGGAGUGCGUGGUGAGGUGGCAGCGCGAGGGGGAUGGGCCUCCUCGCCCUAGCCACCUUACCCCGAUAAUCCACGCCAGGCCCCAUGGGCCGGCGUUUGAAUUAUUAUUACUAUUACAGGGUUGGCGAUGCGGAUCAGACCCCAACUUUUGGCAGCAGGUCCGGCUGACGUGCUUCUGUCUGAUCCACAUCGCUAGCAUGUUGGUGUUGCAGCUGCCGUUGACAUGUCUGCAUGUCGACAUGUCAGGGCCCCGAAUCAGUAUUCUAACCCUGAUACCCAGUCAUACGUGUCCAAAAUCAUCUAUAUGCAUAAUAUAUAACACUUAAAUGCUCCGAGGCCGAUCAGAUCAUGUGCACCUAACAGCAUACAUUUUAACAUGUCAACAUGUCGACAUCCCACUGUGGCAGCCGUGUUGAUCACGAAUACGCAAACAGCUAGUAACUAACAAGUAUUAUGCAUCCAUGUAGCUAUUUGGUGCUGUUGCGGUGGUGGCUGCGGAUGCUGGGGUCGCGGUUGAGGCCGAGGCGUCCGCGCGCGCGGUCCACUAUGCUGCCGAGGAAGUCCGUGUAUUGCGUGUUCGCCUCCGCCUCCGCCCCCGCCCCGGCGCCCACACCCGCCCCGGCCCCAGCCACAGCCGCCGCCGCCCCGCCAGCGCCGUCAGCACCGAGCAGGCUCCGCGCGCGCAGCCAUGCGCUGUCGUUCCAGCUGCGGUCCCGCUGCUGAACGGCGUGGUGGUGCGUGUAGUGGGCCUUGCUGCUGCCCGGCACCACGAUGCCGUGCUCAGGGUAGCUGCGGCGCAGGUCCGUCAGGAAGUCCACCCGCGACAGGUAGCCCAGCAGGUCCCACAGGCGCGGCUUGUAGCCAAUGCCGCGCACGAUGAUGGAGAACUCGUUCUCACAGUCAUCGGUGCUCAGCGCGCGCAGCACCGCCAGGCUAGCGGCUGCCGGUACAGCCAGCAGCAGCUGCAGCAGUGCCUCAAUGUUGGCCAUCAUGGAGAAGAUCAGGUCCGUGGUGACGCCCAUCACCUUGCUGGUGCGGCUGGCGAACUUGGCGGCCAGCCGCGGGUUGUUGAGGUGCGGCAGCACCAACGACCGCAGCAGCGCAUGCAGCGCCUGCAUGCGCUGCACCCGCGCCGGGCAGGUCAGGUGCGCCAUGUCCCACGCCUGGUACUCCUCGCCCAGGAUGCGCAGCACCAGCGCAUCCAGUGCGAAGCCCUGGGCCACGAGCGCCUCCUGCAGCCGCGUGUCGUACACUACAGCUGUGGCCGUGGGCACACUCUGCGCGUCCGCUGACUUGUUCAGGCCAGCAGUGAUGUGCGCCAGUUGCGGGUUGCCAGUGGCUGCCGCCAGCACGUUCGAGAGGCUGAGCAGGUUAGUCACUGUGUCCGCGCCGCCGCUGCCACCACGUCCAGCCCUGCCACUGCGGCUAGUGCUGCUGCUGCUGCUGCCAGCGGCCACGACCUCCGCCAACUGUGCCCGCAGCUGCGCAAUCAAGCACUUCAGCUUGUGCAUGUAGUCCUCGUGGUCGAGCAGCAGGCGGUCGGUGUGGAUGGAGGCGACACAAAUGGUCAUUCGACGGCUUAGGGAACGCGUGAACACAGCCAGGCAGGGGGUGACAUUAGCGGACAUGAGCAGACGAAUCAGCUUACUUGCUUGCAGGAGACACCACCAUUGCCUCGCCUCCGCCACCUCCAGCUGCAGCCGCAGCAGGAGCCGCCGGCACGCCAGUGCGCAAUACAUCAGCGUAGCUGGUGUUUGACCGCCGUGCUGACUUACGCGCCCCGCCGCCACUGCUGCUGGCGGGCGCCAGCGCCGCUGCUGCGGGGGCAGCUAGGCUGCGCAGCUCACGCACUGCGGCACCACGCUGCGGCACCGCGCUCCCUCUCAUGCCCGGAGCCCGCGCCAGCCGCGCUGUGAUGUCGGGCGCCAGCUCCGGCUCUACAGCUGCUGCUCGCUGUGCCGCGCGCGUCCGCGGCUGAGCUUCCCGCGCUUCCCGCGCGGCGAUGACCUCCUCCGCGAGCGCACCCACGGCCUUGGAGUUGGCCAAGUAAUGUUUAUUGCAAAUGUAUGCAAGAUUGCAGCCGUUUGCCUCUGCAACGGCCAGCUUUUUGGCUUCCUCGCUGGUCGCGACAAUGCGGAUGGGUCCCGUGUGGCCUCGCAGGGGCGGGCCAUUCUUCUGCCUAAUUUGUUUGUCCGUCGCUCCACAAACGCAACAGGCUGGUGUGGCUUCCAAAGAAGGCAUCCUACCGAGACAUGCUAGGGAUUAUGGCAGUGUUUGCGAGAUAGCCAUUUUCAAACGCAGCCGCUUGGGACUUAGCAAGUGUAUGACCAUAAAAGCUUAAGUUUGUUAUGGCGGGCUGCACAUCUGCGCGAAUGCGGAGAAACACGUGUGGACACGUUUUUGCCCCUCCCCAGACCGGCGUCAUACCCGUGUGGGCAGACGCGCUGCCCCCCUGCUGCCUGAAAGCAGCCUGGUCCCCGAGACCAGAACCCUGACAGGGCAAGAAGAGAAGAAAAGAGAAGAAAACAGAAAGCAAACACCUCGAAACCGCCAACAACCACCCCCACCCAUCCCACCCCACCCCGCCCCGACCCGGCAGACAGAGCAGGAGGCUGGCCCCCCCGCCCCCCGGGAGGGGUUGCACAAAAACACCGCCAGACCUAACCCAAGCACCAACCUACACCACAGCCUAACCGCAAGAACCACCACCAGAAAAAGAAACACCAGUGCUACCAUCACUCGACCCGCCGCAACCCACCCCACCCCCACAAGUCGGUUGCUUAAGCAACACCCCAGGAGAACCGGCAGAGGAGACACAAGCAGAAAAAAAAUAAUAAUAAUAAUAAUCCCAACGCUGGCCCAUAGGGCCUAGCAUGUAUUAACGGGGCAACGCCUUCGCUGAUCAUCUCUCAACCCAGUUCGAGAGAAGGCGGGAAGUCACCACGACCACCUUAUCAUUUGCCGUUCCUGCCCACCGGUGGGAGCGGGGUGGAUUAAGCCCCUGGUGUCCUAUCCAUGUUCAGCUCGGAUGAUCUACUCUCACGGCUUUCGGUACCUGAGAUCGGAGGAUCAGGUAAUGCCGACUGUCGGGCAACAUCUCAACUGAAACUCUGGAUUGCUCCAGAGUCCGGCCCCUUUGCCGGCACUUCAUGACCGCUCUCUUAUCUGACGUUAGCCACGGAUGACAAGGACACGACUGAAGAGCCGUGAGGUCCCUGCGGAGCGCCUGUGCGUGAUUUGAAUACGUACGGAGGUUUCCCCUGUGCCGAAUUUGGGGAGGAUCGAACUCGGGUCUGAACCGACGUUACACACCAACUUAUCGCUAAGCAACCUCUGCCUUGGUCGAUGAGACAAGCAGAAAACUAAACGGGCCAGAUGUGGAGCUGACUAAGCGGGCUCCAGCCCGCUGCAAGACGCGCUGUGCGGGAAGUCCCACAGCCGCCCAGGCGCUGCGACGCCAGCCAGAGCUAAAACACAUGGGCGCCAGAUAAGCUGAUGACGAUAAACGCCAUGCCAGCGCCUGGAACGAACCGCCGCCCAAAAGGAAACCUAGGGGGCCUGCACAGGUGAUGCAAGCGUCAGCCGCAAGUUCAACUUCGGUGACCCACCCUGAACCUGUUGGAUGGUGAUUACGACUAUCGCUAGCCGGAAGUAGGGGCGGCUGACAGUCAGACUGUUUCGCACAUUACAUAGUACCACACUACUUGACUAUAUCGGGUAGCUCUCUGGCUUAUACCCUCGCAUGGGUUCCGGGUUAAGUCCUUGCAUGGUGUAUCGCACACACACUCUCGGAACUCCCCUACGUUCUCCCUUAUGGAUAGUUCUGACCGAUAUCUCAACACUCCCCCGCGGGCAGAACUCCAUAC